Molecule: unclassified non-coding RNA, 151 nt
Filed under: uncultured Chaetomiaceae
Lineage: Eukaryota; Fungi; Ascomycota; Sordariomycetes; Sordariales
Description: sequence contains ITS2
Source: RNAcentral
CAACCAUCAAGCCCCCGGCUUGUGUUGGGGACCUGCGGCUGCCGCAGGCCCUGAAAACCAGUGGCGGGCUCGCUAGUCACUCCGAGCGUAGUAAUACAUCUCGCUCAGGGCGUGCUGCGGGUUCCGGCCGUUAAAACACCUUAUAACCCAA